UCCACAUGUACAUGCUUAAAUUAUAUUUUUCCAUUUCUAGAGUUAUGUACAACAUUCCCAGAAGAUAUGGAGAAAAACAAUAUUGGGCUGAAAUGGAGCUCGAAAACAAGAGUGAAUUUAGAAAGUGGAGACUUUGUUGAAUUUGACUGUAAAAAUGGAUAUGUGAGAGAUCCAACAUCUUCUGAAUUUAGAGUACAGUGUGUGGAGGGGAAAUUGGCAUAUCCUAAGUGUAAGAAAAGAGAGCCAUGUACAACAUCCCCAGAAGAUAUGGAGAAAAACAAUAUUGGGCUGAAAUGGAGCUUGAAAACACAGCUUAAUUUAGAAAGUGGAAACUUUGUUGAAUUUGACUGUAAAAAUGGAUAUGUGAGGGAUCCAACAUCUUCUGCAUUUAGAGUACAGUGUGUGGAGGGAAAAUUGGCAUAUCCUAAAUGUAAGAGAAGAGGUACUUCAGAAUGAAUAAAAAGAAGCAUCAAACAAAUAAUUUUAACCCAGAUCUGAGGAGCAGAAGCCAUU
This 513-nucleotide long non-coding RNA is filed under the name Chrysemys picta bellii (western painted turtle). Its description in RNAcentral is "lncRNA (ENSCPBG00000028262.1)". The record is from RNAcentral. Lineage: Eukaryota; Metazoa; Chordata; Testudines; Emydidae.